UGCAACCGUUGAGCUGAAGCUUUACCUGAACCUUUAAGGAGAGCUGGACCCAACCUCAUGUCCCCAGACCAGCUAUCUCCCAGCAGAGACUGAUCAAAUGCUGAGCACUGAACGCACAAUAGAUUUGACGAAUCCCAAUACCCUGAACUGGGAGAGCCGUGCAGCGUUUCCUGCAGCUUGCUGUAUCCCCUCCUUUUCUGUAUGCUGACGGAGCACAAACAGGAACCUCUGAGGUCUAUCUCAUUUUGCAACAGCAUUACGGCAUAGAGGGAUACAUUCAGGGUCCCCAUUAUGCGUAGGCACAUGCCAGAAAACUGGAAGGCAAAGUGGAGCACAAUAUGGACAAUUUCCACCAUGAUUCUGGUUUCCCCAAAUGCACAGGAUCCACUGAAGGCAUUGCUGAGUGGAGCCAGGGUGUUACAUCCAGCGACGCUAUUACAGGUCUUGUACCAGGCGCAUGUCUCAACCACAAUUCAAGCUAAGCACGCAGCUUAAGCUACACACAAUGGUCAAAACCCAAGCCUGAAGGCCGCUGGGUCCCAACGAGGGCGUCGAGUGGUGUGGUCUGCAGACGCAUUGCCCUUCCUCUUGGCUCAAGCAGAAAACCAAUCCAUGUCUGAAGUGUUGCUGGGUUGCUUCUGCUAGGAAGAGACAUGAAUGAUAGGGGUUCAGAGUUCUUUUGGGGCAAUCUCUUUUCUUUUGGGAGAAUGGAGACAACAUCCUGUUUCCCUGAUCACAAUAGAAACAAGCUGGAGUGGAUCAGUUUGCCCGUUCUGUCCUUGCCCUGGCAAGACGGCUAUGCACCAUGCCGACACAGCAUGCUCCUGGCAGGAAUAUUCUCUGUAUUAUGGUACCUAGUCUUGCUAACUGCUGUGUGCCCUGGUAAGGGUUAAUCCCUCUCAACUCCAUUUGAUUCCUAGCACCUGGACACAGGACACGUUUGCACCUGGACACAGGACAUGUUUACUCCUGUGUAGCAGAGGGGGGUGUUUUAUGCUGCUAUAAAUGACAAUAGGAUGUGGAGCAGACACACCUAGGUAGCUCCGGUGGUAAAUACCCUUAUAGCAUGUGCUUAAUGAGUGAGUGGGGGAGCAGAUGGCCCUGUCUGGCCUUGAGCAAACAGCCAGCCUGGGAUAAGCUGUAGACACAUGACACUCGCACCAGUGCAACUUACUUACAGUGUAACCUCAUUUUUUCUGGGUUAAUUCUAUGUUAAUUUAAUUCAAGUCGAUUCUAUGUUAAUUUAGUUCAAGUAAAUUGCACUGGAAGUGGACGAUGUGACGUAUGUUUGCUUCCCUCUAUUUGCCCGUGGGUAAACAUGUUGUGUGCCCCGGCUCUGAGUCUCUCUCCGGAUUGAGGCCCAAUGGACUCGUUUCUGCUAUGAGCCCUAUAUCAGCCUAUUCCAAAAUGACCGCGUGUUAUAGGAACUGCAGAUGUCGUUGAAAUCUGCCUUCAGAAGCUCAGAUCAAAUUUUAUUUUGCUAGGAAGAGCACAACAUGCCCAGGAAAUAACCCAGGUCCCAGCAAUAUUCUUUUGCUUUUUGAAUGCUGAGUCUUUUUUUUUUAAUGUCUUCAACUUUGUAUUUCAAGACAAUUACUGAAUUUUAUAGCUAGCUAAAACCAUUUGGCCUUUGGCUUGGUGCCUUCUCAAGCAUGUCAGGGUCAGUUAUGAUCUCCAUAAAUACAUAAUCUCUCUUUGUCUGAUGAUUUAAUUAAAGUCACAGUUCUGUCCAGUGCUACCCAGUGUCUUCCACAAAGACAGGAAGACUUUGAGUAGAAGUAUUGGCUUCUGUCUUGAAAACAGAAAAACUCUAUUCUUCAGGUGCUUCUUCUUGCAGUGAGCUCUGCUCGGAGCUUGUAGAUCUGAAUUUGAUAUAAGAAAAGGAGGGUGUUUCCAAAGCACUCGCAGAGAAUACUAAAUAAGCUAUUGUGAGAAAAGGAGGGGAGGCUCUUUUCAGUGCUGUGGCUCUAUGAAUGCAGCAAGAUCCAGUUAUGCAGGGUGUUCUCCACUGGGCUGCUUUUGCUGAUAAAACUCUUUGCACAGUUUCUUUCUUUCUUUUUUCUUCUUUUUCUUUUUUUGAAGAGGAAGAGAACAAGCACUUACAGUACUUUUUUCCCCCUUUCCUCCAACAGAGAGUGAGUUCUAAAGGGAAUGGCAAAAAAAGGCUUUUAUGUUUGUCCCAGGGCUUUCAUAAAUAAAUGACUACAGCCACAAAUGUGGGCUGCUUGACUGGCAGGCGGAGGAUGAAUUGUGCACAUACAGUAAGAGUAGAUGUGAAUUUAUUGUGAACAUGGAGUAAAACUGUAUGUGUAUUGGCACUAGCAGAUUCAACAGAAAAUAACUUGAGGUUCACAAAUGCAGAUUCAACAUAUUCGUGUCUCUCACGGAGACGAGUGCUAUGAUAGCUAACACAAGUGGAAUGGAUUGGAAGGAAGUGGGGUGCCCAGAGGGAGCUUGAGGAUGGAGAAAGAGAGGAGGAAGGUAAGAGCCUUUGUACAGGAAACUGGUUACACGCCGCCAUCUAAAUGCAACCCAGACACCUACACAAACAACCUGAGCAAUGAAUUGUCAGGUUCUUUGAGUAGGUCCUUUCAAUCCUUAAAUGGAUGAUUAGGGUCCUCGGAGCCACACCUCUUCCCAGCCAGCAGCAUCCUACCGAUCAGCAGACUUGCUACCUCCUGGACAGAAAUCGGCAACCCCUGGCUGAAUCUGCCCGCUGCCUUCAUCAACCAAGUUCUGUUAAUUAUAUCACUUGAGAUGUAUUUAAUAUCUCUAGCCAGGAAAAGAUACGGGAAGUCUCACUGUGACAAGCAAUCACAGGGGCACUCAGCUGAUGAGCAGCUCCUGAUCAUUCAGAGUGCAGUAGGAACCUUCAAUGAAUAGGCCUUAAGUAAUGAUUUGCCAGAGGGAUGUGGCGGACAACAAGGCAAUCAAAGCUGCCUCUGCACCAUUAAGGAAGCUUAAGUGGAAUAAGAAGCACUGUGAAGCUAUUGACUGAGUAGGUGGGCAGCAAAAUGGGUUUAGGUAACUGUUUACUUCCUGCGUGGUGGAGCACACAGAGGGAGGUUUCUAUGGCUGCUCGUUGGCUGUCUGAUCCCGGCUGUCCAGAUCAGCAUUUUAUUUCCCUCCGUCUCUCUCCUUCCCUCUCUCAUGCACAGCUAAAGGAUGGCUUUGUUUCCAUCAAUAUGCUGCAAUUCAUUCUAAUAACUUUUACGCUUGGUUUUUGGGGGGGGUUUAAAUUUUUUUUUUCCAACCUAACAAUGUUUAAAACCCGCUUCUUGAAAGUAUUCUUAUUACUCUCGGCUACCGCAGCAGCGGCACAACACCUCGAGAGAUGCUAGCGUGAAUUUGUCAAAGGUUUUUCUUUCCCUUCCCUGCCAUUUUCCCUGGUGAAUUCUGAGCCCUUUGCAGGGGGCUGAGUUGUCAGAGAGAGACAGCUAUUGUUGCUGAUGUGCCUAAUCUCAGACAGGAGAAUAAGGGGUCAGGGAGUCUUUGUCUACUAAAAAAACCACCAGAUGAGUCCCUGGUGAUCUCCUCCACCCACUGUCUAGUUACACACCGGUGUGCUGGAUCCAGGAUUUGGCCUAAAUCCCCAAGUCAUUGAUUUCCCUAAGGUCUCUUAAAGGUGCCAGAACCAAACUGCAUCUGUAACGUGUGAGGAAAAUGAAACACUCUCCGGGGUUAGUAAGGCUGCUUCGUCUUAUUAUGCUGUUAAUAAUUAUGGGGGAAAGAGAUGACCACUUCACAGUAUUAGCCUGCUUUGAGGGGGAAAAGGAAAAUACCAAAGCUGUUCCAUUAAAGAGCAGGUUCACUGCAUUGCACAGCGAGUUCAGAAAGCUUGAGGCGCUCGGGGCUGGACGGUGCCUUCUCCGUGCAAUGCUGCGGUGGGGGGUGGAUAGAGUCACACCGCUCCGGUGAGCGCCUCUAUACUCCCAGGACGGACAUACCAUAGUGCCCACAAAGAGGAUCUAGCUUUGCACUCCCCUGUGCAGCCAGGGGAGAGCGGGCCUGAGCACACUUUGCCCCUGCUCUUCCCUGUAAUUUGCAGCGCUACAGCCUUGGUGGCGUCUCCCGCUGCUGUAUACUAUAGCAGUUAUCACAAACAACCAUUUCUGCAGUGGACUCAGUAGUGCCAUCUGCACUCAGCUGGAAGUCCCUCUACAGAACGGCAUACUGUAAGGGUGUUUUCUCUGUAAAUUCCCUUGACUGUCUUGCAUUUUAUACAGACAAGCACUUCUGUAUUGCCUUUGCCUGGAGGUUAUGCCUCUGAUAAACAUAAGCUCUGACUACCUGUUUAUCUAGAGAAAGAGUCAACCUCAGGAAGGCAUGUUCUCCCAUUGCAGGAUGAACAGCACCGAUUGAUUUUGUACAUACUAGGAAGGGAUUAGGGAUAUUCCUGGCAGCCCCCAACUCACUCCGUGACCUUGGAGAAACCACUGAAACCAGUAUUGUCAAAUUUCAUUUCCUUAAGAUAGGCUCCUAAACCCAGAGGUAGGGACUUAGCUGUGGCUCCCAGGGUUGAAAGUGCUGCCCUUCAUCUGUUCUCCCAAUUUGUACAACAGAGAUAAUAGGGCAGGGCAUUUGUUGAAGCUUUCCAAGAGCCUCAUAUUUAUUAUGAGUUUUAUUUAUUUUGUCACAUAUACACUAGUAUCUGUAGGCAGCCAUGCGGUGCUCUGUGUGCUAAGUCCCUACACUAAAACAUAUAUCAUAUCACAUCACAUCAUAUAUCAUAUCAAGGGUUGUCCAUAAAUAUCCACCUACCCUUCAACUCAUCCUUUCUGACAAGCUCAAAGCAAGGAAAAGAACAAGGCACUUUAGAAAUGCAAAGUAUGCCAUUAUUAUUGCAAUGUUUUUUUUUUCCAGUCCUGUUAUUGAUGGGAUCAAUCCAGCCAUGUUGGUGACAUUAAAGCAAUGAGACAAGAGCAAUAAAAGGGAGGGAGUGGGGUGCCAUUAGUCGAUGCAGGCCUCCCACCAGUCUGUCUCAGCCUCAGAAAGGCCGUAACAUGUUAUAUCUGGUAUUGUUUUAUUCAGUGUCCCUAUCAGGCAGAUUUGAGAUUCACAAGAAUCAGAAUAAGCUUGAGGAAUCCAGAAGAGCAAUUCUGGUCUCUUGUAAAAGCCCAGCUUUCCUACAGCAUGACAGACUGCAGUGAUGAAUGUUUUAACUUUACAGCAUUUUGAUGUGUAAUUUAUUUGCUGUAAAUUAAUUGCAUGUGUUGUUUUCAUUUUGCUGUGGUGAAAAAUUGGUUUUGCUCUAUUUUUAAUUAGGUGACAAUAUAGAUUCCUUUGCUGAUCAUGGUGCUACCAUUUACCCAUUUAUCAUUUUUUCCCCAGGGUGGCAGUUUCAAAUCCUUAUCCAGGACCUGACACAACCUUUGUGCGACAUUUGUAUUUUUUUCUGUCUCAGUCAGGCACUGAAUAUCUUUGGAUGAAAGGGGUUUUGAGAGAAGGGCCUUCCCAGAGGUUACGCAAGCCAAGUAAUCCAUCGGAAGCAGCAGUGCCUUUCCAUCUCCUGUUUUUUGGAGGAUCCCACUUGGGGAUAGCAUCACGGCAAAGUAGAGCUGGAAGGGACAUCUAGUCCAACCUCCUGCUCAAAGGACCGGGUUUGAGAUGAUGGAGUUGUAGGACAUCGGUUCAAAACCAAGCAAGGUUUAGAGUCACCAAAAGCCAUUUCCUUCCAACAAAUCUUCAGAGGCCUCCAAAAGAAGUUGUCCCAUUGACUUGUCCUGAGUGGGGUUGCACAGGUUUCAAAUCAUGCCGAGACUCAACUCUUCUUGCCCACGUGAAAACCAGCACUAUUGUUGACAGGUCUAGGAGCAGAACCAUGUCUCAAUCUCCGCAGGCAGUUCGCAUCCUUCGCUGCUUUAUACGUGGUCUCUUUCCCUCCCUCCGGGCCUGGGGGCUGCCCAUGGAUGGGGCAGUGUGAGGGGAAAUGAUCACUGCUGCACCUGUGCUUUGGAAAGCUGGUGGCCUUCAGCCUCUAUUGCUGCCAAGUGAACACAGCGGCUGUUACCUAAACUUUUGAAAGCAGCUGAAAAAGGGACUAUAAAAUUACCCCCUUUAUUGCCAGCAUUGUCCGUUAUCUUCAGCAAAUCCCUGAUAGCGUGAUAGAGCUCAGAUGUACUUACAAUCCAUCAAGCUGUGCAAAACCUAUGUUUAUGGUGAUAUAUACUUAAAAUAACAACACUAUUGAAAAGAGUAAAUCUAUUAACGAGCAAACAUUCCUGGUGUGAAAUGAAAAAUAUUGAUUAUCAUACCUGUUAAACCAUGAAAUCCUCUGCAACUAAUUAAUCUGCUAGAGAAAAGUUUGUCACCAGGAUUUUUUUUUCGUGUUGAAAUCCUCUGAAAUGAAUACCGUUACAGCAUAAAUCACACAUAAUAUACACAUUGACUUUGCCUGCCCUUGGAAGUUUCCAUUCCUUGUUUCAUAGGUCCCAGUACAGCAGGGUGGGCAAUUAUUUUGGGCAGAGGGCCGCUUAAUGAGUUUCGGCAAGCCAUCGAGGGCCAUGUGACAGGCAGCCCAGAGCAGAUGAAUAUUAAUUUUCUAAAUUUUUUAGGGAC
Long non-coding RNA from Alligator mississippiensis (American alligator), 6558 nucleotides. RefSeq lists it as uncharacterized. The transcript is spliced from 5 exons. NCBI's taxonomy places the organism in Eukaryota, Metazoa, Chordata, Crocodylia, Alligatoridae. The record is from RefSeq and is a predicted model, not a curated record.